GACAGAGGGUGCAAACGUUGUUCGGAAUUACUGGGCGUAAAGCGAGUGUAGGCGGUCUCGUAAGUCGGAUGUGAAAGCCCCGGGCUCAACCCGGGAAGUGCACUCGAAACUGCGAGGCUAGAGUAUCGGAGAGGUUGGUGGAAUUCUCGGUGUAGAGGUGAAAUUCGUAGAUAUCGAGAGGAACACCGGUGGCGAAGGCGGCCAACUGGACGAAUACUGACGCUGAGACUCGAAAGCGUGGGGAGCAAACAGG
RNAcentral lists this ribosomal RNA (253 nucleotides) under uncultured bacterium. RNAcentral describes it as "partial 16S ribosomal RNA". It matches the Rfam family "Bacterial small subunit ribosomal RNA", at positions 524 to 776 of the family's 1533-position model. The record is from RNAcentral.